ACGGAAGGUCCGGGCGUUAUCCGGAUUUAUUGGGUUUAAAGGGAGCGUAGGCCGGAGAUUAAGCGUGUUGUGAAAUGUAGACGCUCAACGUCUGCACUGCAGCGCGAACUGGUUUCCUUGAGUACGCACAAAGUGGGCGGAAUUCGUGGUGUAGCGGUGAAAUGCUUAGAUAUCACGAAGAACUCCGAUUGCGAAGGCAGCUCACUGGAGCGCAACUGACGCUGAAGCUCGAAAGUGCGGGUAUCGAACAGGAUUAGAUACCCUGGUAGUCCGCACGGUAAACGAUGGAUGCCCGCUGUUGGUCUGAAUAGGUCAGCGGCCAAGCGAAAGCAUUAAGCAUCCCACCUGGGGAGUACGCCGGCAACGGUG
This 369-nucleotide ribosomal RNA is filed under the name uncultured bacterium. RNAcentral's name for it is "bacterial SSU rRNA". It matches the Rfam family "Bacterial small subunit ribosomal RNA", at positions 525 to 896 of the family's 1533-position model. The record is from RNAcentral.